This 73-nucleotide transfer RNA is filed under the name Tsukamurella tyrosinosolvens. Its description in RNAcentral is "tRNA_Asn_GTT". It matches the Rfam family "tRNA". Rfam says of the family: Transfer RNA (tRNA) molecules are approximately 80 nucleotides in length. Their secondary structure includes four short double-helical elements and three loops (D, anti-codon, and T loops). Lineage: Bacteria; Bacillati; Actinomycetota; Actinomycetes; Mycobacteriales; Tsukamurellaceae. The record is from RNAcentral.
UCCCCGGUAGCUCAGUCGGCAGAGCUCUCGAUUGUUAAUCGAGCGGUCAUUGGUUCGAAUCCAUUUCGGGGAG